Vollenhovia emeryi is the source of this 1134-nucleotide long non-coding RNA. RefSeq lists it as uncharacterized. The transcript is spliced from 3 exons. NCBI's taxonomy places the organism in Eukaryota, Metazoa, Arthropoda, Insecta, Hymenoptera, Formicidae. The record is from RefSeq and is a predicted model, not a curated record.
AUCUGAUUACAAUGCACAAAUUUAUUUUAAUCGUUUUUAAUUUUUAUUUAUUUUGCAUCUUAAUUUUAAUGAUAAACUUUAUUUAUAAAUUUUUUAAUUUUAAAUCGACUUUCUCUUGGGAAAGACCGCGGUAUACUUUCAUAUUUAAUAUCAAAUUUUGAUAAUUAAACCCUAUCAAAUUACCGUAAAGUGGCAUAAAUCAUAAAAUUUUGUUAUCUACGUUUAUUAUUUUAAAACAUGUGUAUUUCGAACUUUUAUCAAUCUUUAUCAAUUAAAAAUAUUUAGAUAAAAACUUUCUAGACCUCAAGCUAUCAACUAUGACGAAUGCUUUACAAAACAAGCAAUCAACGCGCCGCCUCGUAUAUUUAGAAACGGAAAGGAGAAACGGGAAUCACCGUAUGUGAUUCCCGCGCGUAAUUUAUUCUGUGAAAGCUGACAAUUGACUUUUUACGGGUCACCAAGGUUACCGGUAAAUAAACUUUGGCUGAUCAGUUCACAGAUAUGAGAGGCUAAUUUUAAAUUCCGAAGUAUUUCUUGUCAGUGACCGACUAAAUUCCAAGUAACUUGAUAUUGUCUCUCGUUUGAUCUGAAGACCAACUAUCAUCGACAAUUUAAUGUCAAUUAUUGAAGUUUUAAAGAAAUAUACAGAUUAACAUCGUCGGCAAUUAACGUUGUCUUGAGUACAUCUUCAGCGUCAUGUCGAGUACCUUGUCCUCCUUGUUAAGUGACGGCGCUCUAAUUGGGAACUGACUGGACAGUAAUUUUACAUGCUACUGUAAGUAAAGUAUGCGUCACAAAAAAAGGAGUACAUAAAAGGAAAAGAAGAAUGUGAGAAAUAAUUAAGAUAUACUCGAUUCAACGUUGGUUUAAAACCGAAAAAAAAAUUUAUUAAGCAAAGAAGACGAAAUUAACGUCUACGAAAUAAAUAAAUAACAUAAAUCUACUGUCGAAAUAAUAAGCAAUAUGAGCAAAAAAAUAUGAUUUUAAUUGACUCUUCAUGUAAUCUCAAUCUUGUGAUAUUUUGUCUUUUGUUUUACACUGAUGAAUUUAAAUUAAUAUUGUAUUAUAUAUUUUUCUAGUACCUUAUAAAAUACUGUAUAGUUUAUGUCCUACACACGUACAAAUUGUAAAGAA